CUUGGCUGCAAUUACAGUAAUUAUUCUUAUCUUAAUUUUCCUGGCACCCAUACACAACUACUACUUACAUUAAUUCUUGUUUUAAUGGUUCUUCUACUUUUAUUGUUUUAAGCCAAAUCAAAUCUAUUUGGGGUAUAGUGAAGUAUAAAUAAUGGAUAAAACUUGCCUUACUUUCUUCUGUUGUCUUAUGAAACUUGAUGAAGAGUUCUUUUUUGAACAAGGGUAUUUUUACAUCAGAAAGCAAAAGCAUAAACAUUAUCUAGGUAUCUGGGUUUGGACGGGGUUGCACGGCUGUGGCAGAGAGAAAUAUUUCAGACUAGCUUACUGGCAGACUGAUUUUCUGAAACAGCUUUGGAAACUUAAACCACCUUUCCAGUUAUUGAACCCUAUAGCUCCACCUGUAGUAGAGAAAUGCUUACCAUUAACUUUACCUAAAGGUGACCUGGGUUUAGUAACACCCCAGCUGUAAAGGAAGAAACAGAAAUAGCACACCCCAAAUUUUCCCCAAGCCUUUUCACUGGCAUCCCUCCAACCAAGGACAGACCCUGGAAAACAACGGUGGCUUGGGGAGGGCUCCGACCCUCAGAUCCCACCAGCGCUCCUAAUCACCUUCACUGAUGCCUUCCCCACCUGCAUCCUGUCUGCAAAGCAAACCUCAAGAAGUCGGUAAAGGACAUGGAACCCCUCAGGUACUGCAUUAACUAAACCAUUUCCUCAAAGUCUGAGAAACCCAUUCUAAAGUUUCAACCCAGGAAUGUUAAUAGCAAGGGAUUGCAAAAGACAUCUGACUAACUUUAUUUUUUAAACUAAGUACAAACAAAUCCUGAGUCCACACAAUCUUUUACGAGAACAUUCUUUCUGAUGGGUGAUUGGAGAGCCAACUUGGAUGAGCACUCCCUUCUUUUAGAAAACCUCACAUACGAACAUCCGCAACAUUUGGAAACUUUAGGAAAAUUUCGGAUGGUUACUUGUAUCACAGAAAGCAGUUUUGCGGUAUCAGGGGAUUUCUUGAAGUAUUCCUUUCAGGGGCUACUUCCCAGUCCCAAAUCCAAGACGGAUUCACUUAAAAACAAACUUAACUUUCAGGACAUGUGUUACAUCAAGUGCAAACAAACUGAGAAGCGAUCUUUUCGAUUCACCCAAUAGAGCCAAAUAUUAGCACUGGAGGACUCCUGUUGUAGAGAGGAUAUUUCUUCAUAACUUCUCUUUUGCUUUGUUUUCCAAUGCCCCUUGGUCUGCUUCCUGUUUUUUUACUGUGUGUGAGCAGUCUGGCGAGGCUCAUUUGCCAAAUGAAAUCUUAUAUGAAACUGCAAUAUUUACAGAAGAGAAAACUCCACAAAACUCCAGGGUUCUGGGGAACAUAGCUGGAAAACCACACCUCCAGUUCAUUCUCCGGUUCACUGCCACGUCUCUAAAAGUCAUAAGUCUGUACCUACCACUACUUGUCAUAUUUUCUGAAAUGCACUGAAGAGGCGGCACUACAGCUUCUACAAAUACAGCAAAUCAGACCCCUUCUAUCAGUCAGGGUUCACUUGCAGAGAAUUGAACCGAUUCUGGCUGCUUUAAGCAAAACACGGGAGUUCCCUUGUGGCACAGUGGGUUAAGGAUCCAGCAUUGUCACUGUGGUGGCUGGGUCACUGCUGUGGUAAGGGUUGGGUCCCUGGCCUGGGAACGUCCACAUGCCACGAGUGUGGCCAAAAAAAGAAAGAUUUAUUAAAUGGCUUCUAGACCACACCUGUGCCCUAAGUAGUAGGAAAAUAGAUGCCUUGCACCUGACUUUCAACCCUUUCAAGCAAAUGAUGUUGAAGAAAACCCAGAGCCUCCACAAAUGCUUUGGUCCCUACUUGUGGAACCCAGUGCAUCUGAUAUUCCAGAAGGAGCCUGCUUCCCAGACUCUAACGUAAAAGGAGGCACAUAAAAGGGAGACCCGAGUGGACCAUGUUGGCCAGUCCUCAUAGCUUCUGACCUCUGUCUGCUGAGUUCCCAAGCUACAGACAAUUCUCUGGCCUUUCCUUCGAUUGCACCUUAAAAAGGUGGGGAAUGUGCUCCGAAGCUACUGACCUGCGAUCAAACUCUCUUCCAGUAAAUUUUAGUUUUUAUAAUAUAACAUUUCAAUCACUACUGGCACUUAGGAGAACAAAUUCCAUAAGUGCAUCACUUACUCUACAGAGCCAUAUACAUCUUUCCAUUUGUCUGAAGUUCACUUCUUUUUUUUUUUAACAAUCCAAGGGAUAGUUCUUCUUGCUCAAACAAUCUAAUCCGAAGCUCAAAGUCUCUGCCCAUGAACUUUCUCAGUUUUCUGCUUCAUUUUUUAUUCUUUUUUGGCAGCCCAGGGGCACAUGGAGUUCCCUAGCCAGGGAUCAGAUCCAAGCUGCAGUU
This 2379-nucleotide long non-coding RNA is filed under the name Sus scrofa (pig). RNAcentral's name for it is "lncRNA (ENSSSCG00005006743.1)". The record is from RNAcentral. Lineage: Eukaryota; Metazoa; Chordata; Mammalia; Artiodactyla; Suidae.